Molecule: long non-coding RNA, 1757 nt
Filed under: Triticum aestivum (bread wheat)
Lineage: Eukaryota; Viridiplantae; Streptophyta; Magnoliopsida; Poales; Poaceae
Description: long non-coding RNA (TAES_LNC016312)
Source: RNAcentral
GCAGCAGGAGGAAGAUGACUGGGGCAACGAGCUCAGAUGCACACUUCUCUGGAAGUCCAGGCAGCUGGCAACAGGCAACCAAGACCCAAGACGAUGGGCUAGGUACUUCAUCUCCCGCCCCGCGCAGUAGGUUCAGUAAGCUUUGCCUCCAACAUGUGGCCUAUUAGCUCUUGACUUGUUUUCUGACUCAAGUCUGCAUGUGUUCUUAUCCAAUUCCGCAUGUGUUUCUGUUCUCUUUUGUUGAUUAUAUUACUCUUUUGUGUGACAACCCUAUUUUGCGUGUUUAAGUUAUGCCAUAUGCGAUCAUGAAUUCAUUAUUGUAGAGACUACAGAGGAACUCCAGCUUGCUUUGUUAGGAAAUUAAACCGUAGGGCAAUCACGUGUGAGUACAGUGACAUAAUAAAACUGUCAAAAAUAUACAACAACAAUGCAUCAUAUGAAUGAACACUUUGUAUUUGCAUUUUGUUGUAACUAGAAGUUCAGUAACUAAAAGGUAAACCCACAAUUGACAUGUCAUUGCUUUAGUUGGCCAAAAGAGACAUGUUUCUGAAAAUACAUUCAUCAAGUUCUUUAUUGCCUAUAAAUACCACCUGUAAGUAUUCCAUCUUCAUUUCAUAAAUUCACUAUUUGGACCAUUAAGCACAGACAAGAAUCAAUUCGGAAUAUGGACCUUUAAGCACAAACAUAAAUUAUGUGUACCAAUCGAAUAUUUUUCUGGUACAAGAUUGCCCUCUAUGGCCUGAUAUCUGCAAAUAUUUCUCAAAGACAUGAAUGAGUUGAUGCUGCCUUAUCCCACGUCGGUGCAGUCUACUCUUUGGUUGGUGUCGAGCCACAGUUCCGAUGCCUUGCUGCUCAGGUCGGGAGAAGUCGCGGUAGUGCACACACUGUCGUUUGUUGCUGGGAUCAACAUACUACUAUAGUGAAUUUAUGGUAUGACUUCUACACACUGUAUUCAUGGUCGAGAAUCUGAAUUUUGUGUUUACUAUGGGAAGAGCCACGAGAACAGAUUAUAUGCAUGAUUCAUGUAUAUUAAGGACCUACCGGUUUCAUUCUUUGGUGUAUGUAUGGUUAAAUGCAGGUUUGGUAUUAUGUUCAUUCAAAUUUUUUUGCGUCUCAGGCACGCAUGCUAUUAGUAGGCUUGUAGCUUUUCCAUGCUUCAACUUAUAAUAUGCAGUGUAGAUUGAUGAUGUCAAGUUGGACACUUAUAUAUUUGAACUUCAAUUAUAUAUAGGCUUCUAUCUUGCAUGGAUGCCUAGGUGGCUGUUGUUGUCGCCUUCAUGCCCACAAGAGCUUGUUUGUCGCCGAGGUCGCCAGGCAAAAGUGUCCUUUUCUGCUUCGAGCUGCUUUGACCGGUGGCACACUUCAGUGAUAAUGCUCUCACCUCAUGGACAACACAGUCGUGGGACUCGUGUUUGCUGGCGGAAAGGUGGAGCAAGAGGUCUCUGAAGCUGCAGCAGAACGAGUCUGUAGAGACGGUGUUGAAUUUUAUCAAGGUUUUUUCAUUUGUUUUGAACCAUCCAGGAGAGACAAGGUUGCUUCAUUUGCAAGCUCAAAACGCUUUAUGAUUGUAUUCUGCUUCUCUACCCAGUUCAUUGAACCUAUGAAAUUGGUUGUCGGUGUUUGAUCCCAUUAGUAGUAUGAUCAAUUUUGUUUUGAGACAUGCAGUCCCCAAAUCCAACACUCCCCACGAUCCGACGAAUGGGAGAGGGAAGCUGAGCAAUGGCCGCACCACUGUAGACAAACAGCUUAACAAUGAG